This 67-nucleotide transfer RNA is filed under the name Ondatra zibethicus (muskrat). RNAcentral's name for it is "tRNA-Pro". It matches the Rfam family "tRNA". Rfam says of the family: Transfer RNA (tRNA) molecules are approximately 80 nucleotides in length. Their secondary structure includes four short double-helical elements and three loops (D, anti-codon, and T loops). Further hydrogen bonds mediate the characteristic L-shaped molecular structure. tRNAs have two regions of fundamental functional importance: the anti-codon, which is responsible for specific mRNA codon recognition, and the 3' end, to which the tRNAs corresponding amino acid is attached (by aminoacyl-tRNA synthetases). tRNAs cope with the degeneracy of the genetic code in two manners: having more than one tRNA (with a specific anti-codon) for a particular amino acid; and 'wobble' base-pairing, i.e. permitting non-standard base-pairing at the 3rd anti-codon position. Lineage: Eukaryota; Metazoa; Chordata; Mammalia; Rodentia; Cricetidae. The record is from RNAcentral.
CAGGAAAUAGUUUAAAAAGAACGUCAGCUUUGGGUGCUGGCGGUGGGGGAAUAUCCCUCUUUCUUGA